GGGGGUAUAGCUCUGUGGUAGAGCAUUUGACUGUAGCUUAAGAGGUCCCUGGUUCAACUCUGAGUGCCCCCU
Albula goreensis is the source of this 72-nucleotide non-coding RNA. The record is from the annotation of a GenBank genome assembly. Lineage: Eukaryota; Metazoa; Chordata; Actinopteri; Albuliformes; Albulidae.